GAUGAACGCUAGCGGCAGGCUUAAUACAUGCAAGUCGAGGGGCAGCAGGGGUGUAGCAAUACACUCGCUGGCGACCGGCAAACGGGUGCGGAACACGUACGCAACUUACCCAAAACUGGGGAAUAGCCCGGGGAAACCCGGAUUAAUACCUCGUAACAUAAUGAAGUGGCAUCACUUUAUUAUUAUAGCUCCGGCGGUCUUGGAUGGGCGUGCGCCUGAUUAGGUAGUUGGCGGGGUAACGGCCCACCAAGCCUACGAUCAGUAACUGGUGUGAGAGCACGACCAGUCACACGGGCACUGAGACACGGGCCCGACUCCUACGGGAGGCAGCAGUAAGGAAUAUUGGUCAAUGGACGCAAGUCUGAACCAGCCAUGCCGCGUGAAGGA
This 387-nucleotide ribosomal RNA is filed under the name uncultured bacterium. RNAcentral describes it as "bacterial SSU rRNA". It matches the Rfam family "Bacterial small subunit ribosomal RNA", at positions 28 to 408 of the family's 1533-position model. The record is from RNAcentral.